CAGGUCUUGACAUCCCGCUAACGAGGUAGAGAUACGUUAGGUGCCCUUCGGGGAAAGCGGAGACAGGUGGUGCAUGGUUGUCGUCAGCUCGUGUCGUGAGAUGUUGGGUUAAGUCCCGCAACGAGCGCAACCCUUACUGUUAGUUGCUACGCAAGAGCACUCUAGCAGGACCGCCGUUGACAAAACGGAGGAAGGUGGGGAUGAUGUCAAAUCAUCAUGCCCCUUAUGACCUGGGCCUCACACGUACUACAAUGGCCAUUAACAGAGGGAGGCAAAGCCGCGAGGCAGGGCAAAACCCUAAAAAUGGUCCCAGUUCGGAUCGCAGGCUGCAACCCGCCUGCGUGAAGUUGGAAUUGCUAGUAAUCGCGGAUCAGCAUGCCGCGGUGAAUACGUUCCC
RNAcentral lists this ribosomal RNA (397 nucleotides) under uncultured bacterium. RNAcentral describes it as "bacterial SSU rRNA". It matches the Rfam family "Bacterial small subunit ribosomal RNA", at positions 975 to 1375 of the family's 1533-position model. The record is from RNAcentral.